This 263-nucleotide long non-coding RNA is filed under the name Mytilus galloprovincialis (Mediterranean mussel). The record is from RNAcentral. Lineage: Eukaryota; Metazoa; Mollusca; Bivalvia; Mytilida; Mytilidae.
AAAAUGAUCAAUUAACCCCCUAAGGAGUUAUUGCCCUUUAUAGUCAAUUUUUAAAUACCUUCAAAAAAUUUGUAAAUUUUUACUAACUUUUUCCACUGUAACUACUGGGCCAAGUUCAUCGUAGAGACAGAUAAUUGUAAGCAGCAAGAAUGUUCAGUUAAGUAAGAUCCAUCACCAAAACACAAUUUUGUCAUAAAUCCAUCUGUGUCCUUUGUUUAAUAUUCACAUAGACCAAGGUGAGCGACACAGGCUCUUUAGAGCCU